This 463-nucleotide ribosomal RNA is filed under the name uncultured bacterium. RNAcentral describes it as "partial 16S ribosomal RNA". It matches the Rfam family "Bacterial small subunit ribosomal RNA", at positions 28 to 507 of the family's 1533-position model. The record is from RNAcentral.
GAUGAACGCUGACAGAAUGCUUAACACAUGCAAGUCGAUGGGGAAGUGGUGCUUGCACCCUGGCAACCAUGGCGGACGGGUGAGUAACGCGUAAGGGACUUACCUGCAGGACUGGGAUAACAGGGGGAAACUCCUGACAAGACCGGAUAAUGUCAUGGAGCUGCAUGGCUUUAUGAUGAAAGGAGACGCCUGCGGAGAGCCUUGCGUCCUAUUAGCUAGUUGGUGAGGUAAUGGCUCACCAAGGCGAAGAUAGGUAGCCGGCCUGAGAGGGUGGACGGCCACAGGGGGACUGAGAUACGGCCCUUACUCCUACGGGAGGCAGCAGUGGGGAAUAUUGGACAAUGGGGGCAACCCUGAUCCAGCAAUUCUGUGUGCACGAAGAAGGUUUUCGGAUUGUAAAGUGCUUUCAGCAGGGAAGAAGUAAGUGACGGUACCUGCAGAAGAAGCGACGGCUAAAUACGUG